AGUUUGAAAGACGACGUUAAGUCGGAUGUUUUAUGCUCCUUUCUAUAAAAGGAACAAACACAAUAAAAAAAAAAUGAAGUUCACGAUCAUUCUGGUGUCGUUUUUUAUUCAUUUUUGUGAUUCAAAUGAUUUCCAAUGUGUUCAUCUCACUGAUACAAUGGAAUUGGCCGAGUUUUACUGUGAAAAUUUCAACGAAACUCUGCCUGUGAAUUGUUCAACCACGUAUCUGUACUCCAUUGGUCAUUAUGAUAAAUCAAAAGUGACACGAUUGAAGAUCGGUGGCUGUGACGAGGACAAAAUCGCACAAAUCAUCGGUGACUUUCGAAAUAUAUGUUCAUUGGACAUUUGUUGCUCCAAUCUUCGAUCAUUGACUCCAUUCGAUGUAACACUCGAGCAUUUGCGAGCAUUCAACGCUUCGCAUAAUCAGCUAACUGAAGAUCCAAGCGAUAUUUGGACAAAAAUGCCCCAUGUGAUGGAUGUUGAUUUAUCACACAAUAAUAUUUCAUACAUACCUCAUUAUGAUCCGAUAGAUCUUCCAAAUUUGGAAAUCAUUGACUUGAGCCACAACAAACUAAAGAAAAUUGAUCAUGAUGAUAUAUUCGGCAAGUUGCUGAAAAGAGAUGUUGCGGUGCAUAUUUCAUGGCAAAACGUGACUAAUUUUAAAAUAGAGGAAAACAUUGGAAAACCAAUUCGUGUUGUUUUAAAUCAAACGGAGGGGAUUUGGCCGUCAUCCGAUGGAAAUCGCACUGAAUUCCAGUGCCGUGAAGGAAGCUUCAAACAAAUAGGCUUAUUCGAAAUUACGGACAACCACAUUGAAAAUCCAAGCGAAAUGCUUCGUUGUUUGACACCAUCACUUGGGCAACUUAUAUUAAAUGGAAACUUUACCGAACAUCUAAGUUCUACCUCACUUGAACCGUUCAUUGAUCUAUGGGAAUUGGCUAUAACUGGUGCGCAGUCAUUGGAAUUCGAUUUAAGUUCAAUCAAAAAUCGGAAGCAUCUUUACGCUCUCGACAUUUCGAGCAACAACUUGGAAGAAAUUGGAAAUGUUUCACUGUUGGAACAGUUCUCAAUGAUCAACUAUUUUGGCGCAACCGAAAAUCAACUGAAAAACGUACCCCAGCUAAUCCAACACUUCAGAACAAAAAUGAUUAGACUACUCUUGAGUGGAAAUCACGUUGGGCAAUUGAAUACGACCACAUUCGAAAAGUUUGAUGUAUACGAAUUGUAUUUGCAAAACACAAAUCUAUCGUUUGACGAUUUUCGGCCGUUUGAAUCGCUCAAAAGUUUAAUGAAACUCGACAUUUCUUACAACAACUUAGAAGUGACAAAUUUUUCAGUACCAUCGACGGCUUUAAAGGCUCUCUUUUAUUUCUCUGCUGCUUAUUGUAACAUUACAAACGCUUCGGAAUUGAUUGAACUUCUCGGGCCACGAAUUUGGUUUCUCGAUCUAUCAGGAAACCAUAUUGGAACACUGAAUGCCACCAAAUUCGAGGACUUCAUAAAUCUGCAGACUCUGAAUUUGAGCAGAACAAAUUUGAUCGAAUUUGAUUUCAGUGUAUUAAGACACUCGCGCUAUUAUUCUGAGGCGGAUUUUUCUCACAACAAUUUGAAAAGGGUGACCAUUACGUCAGCAUCAUCGAAUUUGGGCAUACUUUUCUUAAACGACAAUGAAUUGACGGAAGUUGAACCAUUCACAACAUUUAACUUUCCGAAAUUGUGGAAUUUGUCAAUAUCAAAGAACCAAAUUACAUGCACUGCCAUGGCAGAACUUAAACGCAAUUGGCCGAAUUUGAAAUUCGUUGGUAAUCCCUUUGAACAAAAACAUGGCGAUUGCUCAAGUGUUGUUGAGCUGAUAAAUAACUUGGGUUUUGUUGGAACUUUCAUUUCCAAGUGGUUUUGAUAUUUUUGUUUGAUUGUAAUGAUUUUGAAAUGAAAUUUGAACAAUUGUAUAAUGAAUGAAAUUGUUGUUUUGAAAAUGGACCAGAGCCAAAUAAAAUGGAGCAAAUACCAAUAGAAUUCCAUUUUGUACUGAGAUACACUUCAAAUUUCAACAUAAAAUAAAUACAUCAAAGAAAUUCUCAUGUAAACGUUUGAAGAUUUUAACGACAAUUAAUACAUUUUUGAAACUCAAAUUUGAAUUGGCCUCAAGUAGACAGUUGACAGUUAAUGUCAACUUUGAAUUGUCACAAAUGUCACUGGCCUGCUGUUAAGCUGCGUUUAUCACAUGUUUUCAUACUCUUGUGAAAUACAUAGUCGGAAUCGGAAGGAAAUUUCAAUUGCGGAAGUAUCUACCGAUAGUAACAUUUGCAUCGAAUCAAAUCAAUCAAAAUGAGUGAGAAGAACGAUGACAAUCAACACAGCCCAGAAACUGAUAAGACAAAAGAAAGUGAAGCAAGUCAUCAAAAUGAACUUUCUGCAGCUCUGAAUGCCAUUAAUCUAGGAACAAAAGUAGUACCGCCCAUUUUCAAUCUAUGGAUCGAUUGUUUGGAAGAAAUAUUCGAUUGGCUAUCGAUCAAUGAUAUCCAUUCAUUUGGUCAAACCUGUACAAAGUUCUACCAAAUUGUUGGCGUAUAUUUCAAAUGGAAGUAUAAGCGGGUGCUUGGUAAUGUCUACGACGAUUCAAUGACUGUUAACUGGAAAUAUUUGAAUGGAUUCAAUGAAUUUGCCCAGCGAUUGUCAUUCUACAGCCGUGAGCCAGAUCGAUCGCUUCUCUUUGCCCUGGCAAAUUGUAAAUCGCCCAAAGAGAUAAAUAUCGUCAACGCACAUUUCAGUGAGCUUGAUAUUCAACCGUUCGAGAGCAUGCUGAGUAAAAUAGAAAUCAUGAGACUCAGUUGCCAUUUGUCUGGUGAAUUUUAUGAAUCAUUUUUGGGACCCUGUGCAAAUUUAAAGCGAUUGAGAAUCGAUAAAAGUCCAAGCAAUGGUUGGAUGCGCAACAAAUAUCCAACACUUGAGCAUUUGGAAGUAUACGAAUGUGAUCCAUCUCAAGAUAAUGACCUGAAAAUAUUCUUGGAACAAAAUCCAAAUGUACGGAGUUUAUCGACCACAGCUGAACUUCUCCUAAGAAACCGAGUCAUAUUUAUGGCCAGCAAUUUUGGAUUGGAUGACUUGACAAUCUUAAGAGUUGACGAUAUUGAUUUGAUUUCCAUUGCCCUGAUCGAGUUGCAUCAACGAGGGUUUUACAAACGAUUACACUUUAAAACCGAUACAGCAAAACAUUUGGAUCAAUUACUGGGACUUGCCACGCUACGCGUUUAUAGGUACGAACGCAUCAAAAUGCCACAUUUGCCCACGGUAAAAACACUCGUUUUUAAAGCAAUUUGGAAUGGACAAUGUUCUUGGAUGAAUGACGUGUCAAUGGCUUUGAAUAACCUUGAACGCAUUUUUACACCAAAAACAAGCACUGAAUAUAUAUUGCCAUUCAUUCAGAAUUCGACGAAACUAAGAGAAAUAACAAUGGCAGGUUUACGCGGUGAGAUCGAUGUAGUGGCCAUGAAUAAUGAACGUAAGAGAUUGAAAAUGGCACGCAAAGUGACAAUAUACCUCGAAGAAAAGGACUAUCUGAAGCUUAAAUGGAAGCACGCAUGCACUGACUUUGGUUUGAUCGAACUAAAACGAAAUAAAUCGUAUGACGGCGUUUGGGAUUACACUUUUGGAUCCUAUUACUAAAGUAGUGAAGUAAGAAAAAAUUUCAUUUUGGAACGAUAUUUUUUAUGUUUACUAUUUUUAGAGACUCAAAAUAAAUUGACCAUGUAUCUAAUUUUCAAAAUAAAA
RNA transcript from Sitodiplosis mosellana (orange wheat blossom midge), 3771 nucleotides. RefSeq lists it as uncharacterized. The transcript is spliced from 3 exons. The record is from RefSeq and is a predicted model, not a curated record. NCBI's taxonomy places the organism in Eukaryota, Metazoa, Arthropoda, Insecta, Diptera, Cecidomyiidae.